CUCUGUGACUCCUACGGGGAGGCAGCAGUGGGGAAUAUUGCACAAUGGGGGAAACCCUGAUGCAGCCAUGCCGCGUGUGUGAAGAAGGCCUUCGGGGUUGUAAAGCACUUUCAGUAGGGAGGAAGGUAGUGUAGUUAACACCUGCAUUAUUUGACGUUACCUACAGAAGAAGCACCGGCUAACUCCGUGCCAGCAGCCGCGGUAAUACGGAGGGUGCGAGCGUUAAUCGGAAUUACUGGGCGUAAAGCGCAUGCAGGCGGCCUGUUAAGUCAGAUGUGAAAGCCCGGGGCUUAACCUCGGAAUUGCAUUGAAACUGGCAGGCUAGAGUCUUGUAGAGGGGGGUAGGAAUUUCAGGUGUAGCGGUGAAAUGCGUAGAGAUCUGAAGGAAUACCAGUGGCGAAGGCGGCCCCCUGGACAAAGACUGACGCUCAGAUGCGAAAGCGUGGGGAGCAAACAGGAUUAGAUACCCUGGUAG
Molecule: ribosomal RNA, 475 nt
Filed under: uncultured bacterium
Lineage: Bacteria
Description: bacterial SSU rRNA
Rfam family: Bacterial small subunit ribosomal RNA
Source: RNAcentral